UACGGAGGGUGCAAGCGUUAAUCGGAAUUACUGGGCGUGAAGCGCGCGUAGGUGGCUUGAUAAGCCGGUUGUGAAAGCCCCGGGCUCAACCUGGGAACGGCAUCCGGAACUGUCAGGCUAGAGUGCAGGAGAGGAAGGUAGAAUUCCCGGUGUAGCGGUGAAAUGCGUAGAGAUCGGGAGGAAUACCAGUGGCGAAGGCGGCCUUCUGGACUGACACUGACACUGAGGUGCGAAAGCGUGGGUAGCAAACAGG
This 253-nucleotide ribosomal RNA is filed under the name uncultured microorganism. RNAcentral's name for it is "partial 16S ribosomal RNA". It matches the Rfam family "Bacterial small subunit ribosomal RNA", at positions 524 to 776 of the family's 1533-position model. The record is from RNAcentral.